This 104-nucleotide microRNA precursor is filed under the name Canis lupus familiaris (dog). Its description in RNAcentral is "mir-8834 microRNA precursor family". It matches the Rfam family "mir-8834 microRNA precursor family". Lineage: Eukaryota; Metazoa; Chordata; Mammalia; Carnivora; Canidae. The record is from Rfam by way of RNAcentral. RNAcentral also lists the same sequence under 1 other name.
GGGAGCAACAGCCCUAGUGGCGGCCGCAGCUCUGGAAACCUGGAUUCAGCUCCCACAGUAACUCCAGAGCUCUCGUCUGCAGGGCCUGGAGGCUCCGGGGCGAG